Molecule: ribosomal RNA, 513 nt
Filed under: uncultured bacterium
Lineage: Bacteria
Description: partial 16S ribosomal RNA
Rfam family: Bacterial small subunit ribosomal RNA
Source: RNAcentral
GACGAACGCUGGCGGCGUGCCUAACACAUGCAAGUCGAACGGAGAUUGCAUUUAUGUAAUCUUAGUGGCGAACGGGUGAGUAACGCGUAGACAACCUACCGCUUAGAUGGGGACAACACUGGGAACUAGUGCUAAUACCGAAUGUUGUAUUGAAGCUGCAUGGUUUUGAUACUAAAGAUGGCCUCUGUAUAUGCUAUCGCUAAGUGAUGGGUCUGCGUCUGAUUAGCUAGUUGGUGAGGUAAUGGCUCACCAAGGCGACGAUCAGUAGCCGGUCUGAGAGGAUGAACGGCCACACUGGGACUGAGACACGGCCCAGACUCCUACGGGAGGCAGCAGUGGGGAAUCUUCCGCAAUGGACGAAAGUCUGACGGAGCAACGCCGCGUGAGUGAAGAAGGUUUUCGGAUCGUAAAGCUCUGUUUUCAGGGACGAAUGUGCAGAUUGUAAAUAAUGAUUUGUAAUGACGGUACCUGAGUAGAAAGCCACGGCUAACUACGUGCCAGCCGCCGCUGUAA